RNAcentral lists this ribosomal RNA (962 nucleotides) under Kocuria sp. Its description in RNAcentral is "bacterial SSU rRNA". It matches the Rfam family "Bacterial small subunit ribosomal RNA", at positions 65 to 1036 of the family's 1533-position model. The record is from RNAcentral. Lineage: Bacteria; Bacillati; Actinomycetota; Actinomycetes; Micrococcales; Micrococcaceae.
CGCUGAAGCACCAGCUUGCUGGUGUGGAUGAGUGGCGAACGGGUGAGUAAUACGUGAGUAACCUGCCCUUGACUCUGGGAUAAGCCCGGGAAACUGGGUCUAAUACUGGAUGCUACAUGUCACCGCAUGGUGGUGUGUGGAAAGGGUUUACUGGUCUUGGAUGGGCUCACGGCCUAUCAGCUUGUUGGUGAGGUAAUGGCUCACCAAGGCGACGACGGGUAGCCGGCCUGAGAGGGUGACCGGCCACACUGGGACUGAGACACGGCCCAGACUCCUACGGGAGGCAGCAGUGGGGAAUAUUGCACAAUGGGCGAAAGCCUGAUGCAGCGACGCCGCGUGAGGGAUGACGGCCUUCGGGUUGUAAACCUCUUUCAGCAGGGAAGAAGCCACAAGUGACGGUACCUGCAGAAGAAGCGCCGGCUAACUACGUGCCAGCAGCCGCGGUAAUACGUAGGGCGCAAGCGUUGUCCGGAAUUAUUGGGCGUAAAGAGCUCGUAGGCGGUUUGUCGCGUCUGCUGUGAAAGCCCGGGGCUUAACCCCGGGUGUGCAGUGGGUACGGGCAGACUAGAGUGCAGUAGGGGAGACUGGAAUUCCUGGUGUAGCGGUGGAAUGCGCAGAUAUCAGGAGGAACACCGAUGGCGAAGGCAGGUCUCUGGGCUGUUACUGACGCUGAGGAGCGAAAGCAUGGGGAGCGAACAGGAUUAGAUACCCUGGUAGUCCAUGCCGUAAACGUUGGGCACUAGGUGUGGGGGACAUUCCACGUUUUCCGCGCCGUAGCUAACGCAUUAAGUGCCCCGCCUGGGGAGUACGGCCGCAAGGCUAAAACUCAAAGGAAUUGACGGGGGCCCGCACAAGCGGCGGAGCAUGCGGAUUAAUUCGAUGCAACGCGAAGAACCUUACCAAGGCUUGACAUAUACCGGAUCGUUCCAGAGAUGGUUCUUCCCCUUUGGGGUCGGUAUACA